This 576-nucleotide small RNA is filed under the name Pan troglodytes (chimpanzee). RNAcentral describes it as "retained intron". The record is from RNAcentral. Lineage: Eukaryota; Metazoa; Chordata; Mammalia; Primates; Hominidae.
GUGCCAGCCCUGCUCAUGGCAGUGAGGUGGGCUCCCAGCUGCUGAGGCCACCCAGCACUAGUGAGUGACUUGGCAUUUUUAUUUUUGUUCAGAUCACAAGAAUGGGCAUUACAUCAUCCCACAGAUGGCUGACAGCCUUGACUUAUCCGAAUUGGCCAAAGCUGCUAAAAAGAAGCUGCAGGCGCUCAGCAACCGGCUUUUUGAGGAACUCGCCAUGGACGUGUAUGACGAGGUGGAUCGAAGAGAAAAUGAUGCAGUGUGGCUGGCUACCCAAAACCACAGCACUCUGGUGACAGAGCGCAGUGCCGUGCCCUUCCUGCCUGUUAACCCGGAAUACUCAGCCACGCGGAAUCAGGGGCGACAAAAGCUGGCCCGCUUUAAUGCCCGAGAGUUUGCCACCUUGAUCAUCGACAUUCUCAGUGAGGCCAAGCGGAGACAGCAGGGCAAGAGCCUGAGCAGCCCCACAGACAACCUCGAGCUGUCUCUGCGGAGCCAGAGUGACCUCGACGACCAGCACGACUACGACAGCGUGGCCUCUGACGAGGACACAGACCAGGAGCCCCUGCGCAGCACCGG